Molecule: non-coding RNA, 69 nt
Organism: Triticum aestivum (bread wheat)
Lineage: Eukaryota; Viridiplantae; Streptophyta; Magnoliopsida; Poales; Poaceae
Source: Rfam
UCCAUUGCUCAGCUGGUAGAGCACAAGGCUCUUAACAUUGUGGUCGUGGGUUCAGGCCCCACGAUGGAG